Molecule: ribosomal RNA, 497 nt
Filed under: uncultured bacterium
Lineage: Bacteria
Description: partial 16S ribosomal RNA
Rfam family: Bacterial small subunit ribosomal RNA
Source: RNAcentral
GAUGAACGCUGGCGGCGUGCCUAAUACAUGCAAGUCGAGCGAACAGACGAGGAGCUUGCUCCUCUGACUUUAGCGGCGGACGGGUGAGUAACACGUGGAUAACCUACCUAUAAGACUGGGAUAACUUCGGGAAACCGGAGCUAAUACCGGAUAAUAUAUUGAACCGCAUGGUUCAAUAGUGAAAGACGGUUUUGCUUUCACUUAUAGAUGGAUCCGCGCCGCAUUAGCUAGUUGGUAAGGUAACGGCUUACCAAGGCAACGAUGCGUAGCCGACCUGAGAGGGUGAUCGGCCACACUGGAACUGAGACACGGUCCAGACUCCUACGGGAGGCAGCAGUAGGGAAUCUUCCGCAAAGGGCGAAAGCCUGACGGAGCAACGCCGCGUGAGUGAUGAAGGUCUUCGGAUCGUAAAACUCUGUUAUUAGGGAAGAACAAAUGUGUAAGUAACUAUGCACGUCUUGACGGUACCUAAUCAGAAAGCCACGGCUAACUACGUG